RNAcentral lists this ribosomal RNA (1395 nucleotides) under uncultured bacterium. RNAcentral describes it as "16S ribosomal RNA". It matches the Rfam family "Bacterial small subunit ribosomal RNA". The record is from RNAcentral.
AGAGUUUGAUCCUGGCUCAGGAUGAACGCUAGCUACAGGCUUAACACAUGCAAGUCGAGGGGCAGCAUGAACUUAGCUUGCUAAGUUUGAUGGCGACCGGCGCACGGGUGAGUAACACGUAUCCAACCUGCCGAUGACUCGGGGAUAGCCUUUCGAAAGAAAGAUUAAUACCCGAUGGCAUAGUUCUUCCGCAUGGUAGAACUAUUAAAGAAUUUCGGUCAUCGAUGGGGAUGCGUUCCAUUAGGUUGUUGGCGGGGUAACGGCCCACCAAGCCUUCGAUGGAUAGGGGUUCUGAGAGGAAGGUCCCCCACAUUGGAACUGAGACACGGUCCAAACUCCUACGGGAGGCAGCAGUGAGGAAUAUUGGUCAAUGGACGAGAGUCUGAACCAGCCAAGUAGCGUGAAGGAUGACUGCCCUAUGGGUUGUAAACUUCUUUUAUACGGGAAUAAAGUGAGCCACGUGUGGCUUUUUGUAUGUACCGUAUGAAUAAGGAUCGGCUAACUCCGUGCCAGCAGCCGCGGUAAUACGGAGGAUCCGAGCGUUAUCCGGAUUUAUUGGGUUUAAAGGGAGCGUAGGCGGGUUGUUAAGUCAGUUGUGAAAGUUUGCGGCUCAACCGUAAAAUUGCAGUUGAAACUGGCGACCUUGAGUGCAACAGAGGUAGGCGGAAUUCGUGGUGUAGCGGUGAAAUGCUUAGAUAUCACGAAGAACUCCGAUUGCGAAGGCAGCUCACUAGACUGCAACUGACACUGAUGCUCGAAAGUGUGGGUAUCAAACAGGAUUAGAUACCCUGGUAGUCCACACAGUAAACGAUGAAUACUCGCUGUUUGCGAUAUACAGUAAGCGGCCAAGCGAAAGCAUUAAGUAUUCCACCUGGGGAGUACGCCGGCAACGGUGAAACUCAAAGGAAUUGACGGGGGCCCGCACAAGCGGAGGAACAUGUGGUUUAAUUCGAUGAUACGCGAGGAACCUUACCCGGGCUUAAAUUGCAUUUGAAUAAUCUGGAAACAGGUUAGCCGCAAGGCAAAUGUGAAGGUGCUGCAUGGUUGUCGUCAGCUCGUGCCGUGAGGUGUCGGCUUAAGUGCCAUAACGAGCGCAACCCUUAUCUUUAGUUACUAACAGGUCAUGCUGAGGACUCUAGAGAGACUGCCGUCGUAAGAUGUGAGGAAGGUGGGGAUGACGUCAAAUCAGCACGGCCCUUACGUCCGGGGCUACACACGUGUUACAAUGGGGGGUACAGAAGGCAGCUACCUGGUGACAGGAUGCUAAUCCCAAAAACCUCUCUCAGUUCGGAUCGAAGUCUGCAACCCGACUUCGUGAAGCUGGAUUCGCUAGUAAUCGCGCAUCAGCCAUGGCGCGGUGAAUACGUUCCCGGGCCUUGUACUCACCGCCCGUCA